GUAGUUGUUGCCGAAUGUUCAAGGUGAUGGACUUGAAAUCCAUUGGGGUCUCCCUGGGCAGGUUUCAAUCUUGCCUGCUAUG
Non-coding RNA from Ameiurus melas (black bullhead), 82 nucleotides. NCBI's taxonomy places the organism in Eukaryota, Metazoa, Chordata, Actinopteri, Siluriformes, Ictaluridae. The record is from the annotation of a GenBank genome assembly.